Molecule: ribosomal RNA, 439 nt
Filed under: uncultured bacterium
Lineage: Bacteria
Description: partial 16S ribosomal RNA
Rfam family: Bacterial small subunit ribosomal RNA
Source: RNAcentral
CUACGGGGGGCAGCAGUGGGGAAUAUUGCACAAUGGAGGAAACUCUGAUGCAGCAACGCCGCGUGGAGGAUGACACUUUUCGGAGCGUAAACUCCUUUUAUAUAGGAAGAAGAUGACGGUACUAUAUGAAUAAGCGCCGGCUAACUCCGUGCCAGCAGCCGCGGUAAUACGGAGGGCGCAAGCGUUACUCGGAAUCACUGGGCGUAAAGAGCGUGUAGGCGGAUUAAAAAGUCAGAAGUGAAAUCCUAUAGCUUAACUAUAGAACUGCUUCUGAAACUCUUAAUCUAGAAAAUGGGGGAGGUAGAUGGAAUUUCUGGUGUAGGGGUAAAAUCCGUAGAGAUCAGAAGGAAUACCGAUUGCGAAGGCGAUCUACUAGAACAUUAUUGACGCUGAGACGCGAAAGCGUGGGGAGCAAACAGGAUUAGAUACCCCAGUAGUC